Molecule: non-coding RNA, 72 nt
Organism: Ictidomys tridecemlineatus (thirteen-lined ground squirrel)
Lineage: Eukaryota; Metazoa; Chordata; Mammalia; Rodentia; Sciuridae
Source: Rfam
GGGAGUGUAGCUCAGUGGUAAAGCUCUUGCCUAGCAUGCAGGAGGCCCUGAGUUCAAUCCCCAGUACCAUCA